This 125-nucleotide non-coding RNA is filed under the name Castor canadensis (American beaver). The record is from RNAcentral. Lineage: Eukaryota; Metazoa; Chordata; Mammalia; Rodentia; Castoridae.
AUGUUGUAUGAAAGGAGAGAAGGUUAGCACUCCCCUUGACAAGGAUGGAAGAGGCCCUCCGGGCUGACAAUGUGCAUACAUUUAAGACAAUGCCACCUACUUUGUGAUGGCACAAAAUGAUCUGA